GUACUUUUUUUUUUUUUUUUUUUUUUUUUUUUUUUUUUUUUUUUUUUUUUUUUUUUCCGCGCUCGCUGCAUCU
RNAcentral lists this non-coding RNA (73 nucleotides) under Alexandrium minutum. Lineage: Eukaryota; Dinophyceae; Gonyaulacales; Pyrocystaceae. The record is from RNAcentral.